Nelumbo nucifera (sacred lotus) is the source of this 919-nucleotide non-coding RNA. Lineage: Eukaryota; Viridiplantae; Streptophyta; Magnoliopsida; Proteales; Nelumbonaceae. The record is from RefSeq and is a predicted model, not a curated record.
ACCUUUAUUUAUCUAUCUAUCAGAUUCAACACUUUAAACCAAUGAUAAGAGAGAAACUAUAAGAAAACGAAGGAAAUAAUAUAUGUGGCUAACAAAAUAAUCGGUUUUGGGCAUGAAUCGAUUCGGGAGGGGCGAGAACCGGAACCGACCCAAUUAUUUAUUUCAACAUAAUAUUGGAGCCGGAUCCUUUAUAAAUGGUUGGGUCGAUUCGGGCCAGACGGGUGGACCUGAACCGUUGACAGCCCCUUCAAGAACAUGAAUGAUGAUAGCGAUUGUGCUGCAGCAAGGUUGGUAUCCCUUUUCCUUCUCCCUUCGGACCUGUAUUUCGAGGUAAGGACCUUUCAAAACCGCACUCGAUGUUCGUACCUUUGUUAUUGAGGCAUAAGAUUUUGUCCUGCGAAGUUGGUUUUGGAUUCGCACGAAUUAAUAAAUUCUGCUAAUGCAAUUUCUGCCUUGUCAUUGCAGGAACAUUCUAAUGGGUUCGCAUUGUCAAUUGCCGUAUCAAAAUGACUGCGAUAGUGCAUUUCCACUUCCAUGAGCUUGCGUCAUUGGAGCUGAUUCAAGCGCUCGAAUUGGAGCAGUAGUCUGCCGAGGUCUUGCAUACGCUGGAGUCCAGAAUAAGCCACUCUAACCCAUUUCAUCUAUAUUCACUUCUAAACUAUUUCUCGUCCAUCUGUUUCUGAUUAGAUAUUCUUGACAGGUGAAGGGCGUGAGCGCAAAGGAGACUCGGAAGCGAUAUGGAUGUGGAAGCUGCACAGGCACGAAGAAUGCUCAACUUGCGGGCAGGAUACACAACCUCUCGCGGAAAAACUGUAAGGAAGCCGAUCAACUCUUCGGUUUUUUGAUUUCUCGAGGCAUUGCUACUUUUGGCGAUCGGCUCACUGACUCCUGUGCCUUACCAUUGUUCCCGGUUUUCGAU